Molecule: ribosomal RNA, 250 nt
Filed under: uncultured prokaryote
Description: partial 16S ribosomal RNA
Rfam family: Bacterial small subunit ribosomal RNA
Source: RNAcentral
UACAGAGGGUGCGAGCGUUGUUCGGAAUUAUUGGGCGUAAAGAGCGUGUAGGCGGCAUUACAAGUCGGGUGUGAAAGCCCAAGGCUCAACCUUGGAAGUGCGCCCGAAACUGUGGAGCUGGAGUGCCGGAGAGGAUGGCGGAAUUCCGGGUGUAGAGGUGAAAUUCGUAGAUAUCCGGAGGAACAUCGGUGGCGAAGGCGGCCAUCUGGACGGACACUGACGCUGAGACGCGAGAGCGUGGGUAGCAAAC